RNAcentral lists this ribosomal RNA (253 nucleotides) under uncultured bacterium. RNAcentral describes it as "partial 16S ribosomal RNA". It matches the Rfam family "Bacterial small subunit ribosomal RNA", at positions 524 to 776 of the family's 1533-position model. The record is from RNAcentral.
UACAGAGGUGGCAAGCGUUGUUCGGAAUUACUGGGCGUAAAGGGCGCGUAGGCGGCCGCCUAAGUCAGACGUGAAAUCCCCAAGCUUAGCUUGGGAACUGCGUCUGAUACUGGGUGGCUUGAGUUCGGGAGAGGAAUGUGGAAUUCCAGGUGUAGCGGUGAAAUGCGUAGAUAUCUGGAGGAACACCGGUGGCGAAGGCGGCAUCCUGGACCGACACUGACACUGAGGAGCGAAAGCCAGGGGAGCAAACGGG